AGAUGUGUAGUUCAAUGGUUAGAAUUUUGGUCUCCAAAACCAACGAUAUAGGUUCGAUUCCUAUUACCCCUG
This is a non-coding RNA of Powellomyces hirtus, 72 nucleotides long. The record is from the annotation of a GenBank genome assembly. Lineage: Eukaryota; Fungi; Chytridiomycota; Chytridiomycetes; Spizellomycetales; Powellomycetaceae.